GCUGGGUGCAGUGGCUUACACCUGUAAUCCCAGAGACUCAGGAAGCUGAGACAGGAGGAUUGAAUGUUCAUAGCCAGCCUCAG
This 83-nucleotide small RNA is filed under the name Marmota monax (woodchuck). The record is from RNAcentral. Lineage: Eukaryota; Metazoa; Chordata; Mammalia; Rodentia; Sciuridae.